Molecule: ribosomal RNA, 460 nt
Filed under: uncultured Ferruginibacter sp.
Lineage: Bacteria; Pseudomonadati; Bacteroidota; Chitinophagia; Chitinophagales; Chitinophagaceae
Description: bacterial SSU rRNA
Rfam family: Bacterial small subunit ribosomal RNA
Source: RNAcentral
CCUACGGGGGGCUGCAGUAAGGAAUAUUGGUCAAUGGACGAAAGUCUGAACCAGCCAUGCCGCGUGAAGGAUUAAGGCCCUCUGGGUUGUAAACUUCUUUUAUCUGGGACGAAAAAAGGGUAUUCUUACUCACUUGACGGUACCAGAGGAAUAAGCACCGGCUAACUCCGUGCCAGCAGCCGCGGUAAUACGGAGGGUGCAAGCGUUAUCCGGAUUUACUGGGUUUAAAGGGUGCGUAGGUGGGUUUGUAAGUCAGUGGUGAAAUCUCCGAGCUUAACUCGGAAACUGCCAUUGAUACUAUAGAUCUUGAAUUAUCUGGAGGUAAGCGGAAUAUGUCAUGUAGCGGUGAAAUGCUUAGAUAUGACAUAGAACACCAAUUGCGAAGGCAGCUUACUACGGAUAUAUUGACACUGAGGCACGAAAGCGUGGGGAUCAAACAGGCUUAGAUACCCCUGUAGUC